Molecule: long non-coding RNA, 443 nt
Organism: Bactrocera dorsalis (oriental fruit fly)
Lineage: Eukaryota; Metazoa; Arthropoda; Insecta; Diptera; Tephritidae
Exons: 2
Source: RefSeq, a predicted model, not a curated record
GCGUUUAAAUUUCCGUCACGAUUUCAAACCCUUAAUAUUUUCCACUGAUCGCUGACUAAACUAAAUGACUUCAUAUAUGAAGAAUGUGUGAGUCGCGUCGCGAAAACUUAUUUAAAGCAGUCGCCAGUAAAUCGUUUGUCUAGUCAACUCUGCAAGUCGUGAAGUUCAAAUCGUAGUCGAAAAGCAAACUAUUAAAAACAAAAUGGUGAAAUUGAAGGCCGUCAUUAAAAUAGCUUUGACGUUUGUUGCUGCCGUUAUGUUCUUUAGCGUAAGUGCUUUUGCCAUAAAUCGGAAAGCAUUGCUCACGGAUGGAAAAUGAAGCCGAAGUGAUUGUAAACUAAACCGAUAUUCGUUGAUAGACGACUGCAAUAAACGAAGGUUAUGAGAAAUACACAUAAAUAUACAGUAUCAUACUUAUAAAUAUACUUACAUAUAUACAUACA